AUUGAACGCUGUCGGCAGGCCUAACACAUGCAAGUCGAGCGGAUGAAGGGAGCUUGCUCCUGGAUUCAGCGGCGGACGGGUGAGUAAUGCCUAGGAAUCUGCCUGGUAGUGGGGGAUAACGUCCGGAAACGGGCGCUAAUACCGCAUACGUCCUGAGGGAGAAAGUGGGGGAUCUUCGGACCUCACGCUAUCAGAUGAGCCUAGGUCGGAUUAGCUAGUUGGUGGGGUAAAGGCCUACCAAGGCGACGAUCCGUAACUGGUCUGAGAGGAUGAUCAGUCACACUGGAACUGAGACACGGUCCAGACUCCUACGGGAGGCAGCAGUGGGGAAUAUUGGACAAUGGGCGAAAGCCUGAUCCAGCCAUGCCGCGUGUGUGAAGAAGGUCUUCGGAUUGUAAAGCACUUUAAGUUGGGAGAAAGGGCAGUAAGUUAAUACCUUGCUGUUUUGACGUUACCAACAGAAUAAGCACCGGCUAACUUCGUG
This 484-nucleotide ribosomal RNA is filed under the name uncultured bacterium. RNAcentral's name for it is "partial 16S ribosomal RNA". It matches the Rfam family "Bacterial small subunit ribosomal RNA", at positions 30 to 507 of the family's 1533-position model. The record is from RNAcentral.